RNAcentral lists this long non-coding RNA (1296 nucleotides) under Nicotiana benthamiana. Its description in RNAcentral is "long non-coding RNA (NBEN_LNC004646)". Lineage: Eukaryota; Viridiplantae; Streptophyta; Magnoliopsida; Solanales; Solanaceae. The record is from RNAcentral.
UUGCCCUGUGUGUUUGUAAAGCGAAAUAGAAGUUGUUAGGUCUUAGAGAUGAUUGAGGCAUUUCUUUGUGUAAGCAUGUUUAAUUGUGAAUCCACCUGUAUAUAUUGCCAUUAGUUAACCCCUUUGAUCCUGAAGCCUGCUCUUUGAUAACCCUAUAAUGAACUAUAUCCCAGUGUUUGAUUAUAUGAUUGUUUGAACCUAUACCUCCUAGAAGCACUAGAAUCACAAAAGAAUAUGAAAAAGUCAAAGUGUGGGGUGAUAGGGAGUUAGCAAAAGAAGGGGAAUCAUGAACAAAUAGUAAUGAGUGCACGAGUUUUGUAGAAAAAAAAAGUGAAACAAAGAAAACAAAACAAAAUAAAGAAAAGAGAAGGAAAAAAACAAGAAGCUCGUGGCACCUAAAGAAAAUGGGGAUUACAUGUGGAACAAAAAUGUGGAGGAAUGAUUGGGCUGAACAUGGAAAAGAAGUAUGUAUUAAAAUUUCUUAGGGAGGUCAGUCACUACAUCUAAACGUAUCCUACCCGUCCCUUAGCCUACAUUACAACCAAAUAAAGACCUCUUGAUCUUUGACUCAAGCAGCUCGAUUAGUAGAGUACUACACUAGGGGCAAGGUUCCUUGUGUUGAAUUUUUAUAUGUGUGUGGAACUUCUCUCAGAAUUUGGUUGUGAGGGCACGUGACUCAGGAAGGAAAAGUAAGUCUUAACCGCAGUUAGAGUAACUAGAGUGAGCUAGAGUGUGUCAUGAAGGUAGAGUCUGCAUCAGGGUAGGAUUGUUGCACUGCUUAGGUUGGUUCGUCAAAGUGGCGGGUGUGGCAUAUCUUUGGGCAAUGCAACAAACAGUUAAGCCUAGAAGUGUGGUUUAGUUUUCUCAAGGACGAGCAAAGGUUUAAGUGUGGGGUGUUGAUAAUAGGUGAAUUUAACUAUAUUCAGGCGCUAAAUAACUACCUUCUUGCAUAGUUUUGAUAAUGAAAGUGAUAACAAAAUGCUCUUAUUAGUGUUUCUCUUGAUGUGCAUGCUAUAUAUGACUAGGGAAGGCUAGGGAGCACUUUUGGAGUCGAAGAUAAAGAAAAAGGGGCCAAUUGUAAAACACCCCAAGUGAACCACGCCAAAAUAAGCUGAAGAAUCAGGGAAAGGAGGCUCCCGCGGUUCCACCGAGAUCGCGGCAAAACCGCAGAAGAAGGCAGAUGCAGAUAAAAUGGGUUUCUGUGGAGGUUUUUGGUCACGGUUCUAUCGCGACCGCAGCAGAACCGCAGUGGGCGUGCUGAUGGCCAGGGGUAAUUAUGUCAAACGUGAAAUUUUA